Molecule: long non-coding RNA, 1273 nt
Organism: Caretta caretta (loggerhead turtle)
Lineage: Eukaryota; Metazoa; Chordata; Testudines; Cheloniidae
Source: RefSeq, a predicted model, not a curated record
UGUGACUUUGGUUACCUGGCAUAACCAUCUUUUCCUCUUAUAUUCCCCUGUGGCCUGCAUGUGUAUACAACACUUGGAUCCUGCAUUUUUAAUGCAAUGGCUUUAUGGAUUGUGCUAACUAUCAUAUAGGCUGGCUUCCCUUGUUUUUGUUUCUUCCUACACUGGUACAUAUACUGGGAAGUAACUUUUGUUGUUGCUGUUUUGAGUGAUUGUCCACACUGAUUCCACUCGGUGACCAGCAAGUAGUUCUCUAGAGACUCCUCUCUCUCCUCCAGCUGAAAGAAUGACUUCAGGACAGCUCUAUUGAAUCUGGCAUCUGAUCUGGAAGCCUGGACCAAGGAGUAAUGGAAGGUUGAAGUGAAGCUUCAGAAAAAAGAUCAGAAGGUGGAUUACUGCCUGAGCUGAACACCUGAAACAUCGGAUGACACCUAAGGAUGGACCAUGUCCAUAUGGAAUAUAGUCAAAGAGGACCCAUCCUGAAGGCUGGCAUAGAAACUGUUGAGGAAUGUGGUCUAUAGGAAGAGACUGCUUGAGAGGUAGAGGAGGAAACGCAGCUGGCUGGUGUUAAGGUCUGUGUAAAAGACUGUUUGUGUGAAUGAGGAAUGCAUGCAUCAGGAAAAGAUAAGGUGUGAAGACCAUUGUUAACCAGAUGGUCAAGAAAGGAGGAGCGAAGACACUUAGAGACUUCUUGAUGCCAGAGAACCAUCAACGCACAUCCAUGAUUGAGGAAGGACAGAUUGACGACCCUGAUGUGGAGGCUGGCACCCCCUAAAGACAAUCGAUGACCCUCUCGGAGGUGUUUUGGAAUGUUAACAUCAAAAGAUAACACCAAUUAAGAAGUAACCGGUCAUAAACUGACACAGCAAAAUCCAUAGACUUCAACAGAGGAAAAAAACCUGACUAUAAGAACAGGGUGCUUUGCCAUGGGACCUCGGGUUCGUCUUGCCACUACUCCAGGAGCACCGGAUUGCGACUGACAGAGCCCGGCUCCCCUCUGUGACCAAUCUGGCUGGCCACUAGAUUGAUCCAGACUCUGGGCUGGUAACUAUAAACAUAGGCUGGCGGGACUGUGUGCAUGGUGUGUGUGGGUGUGUGUGACUGAAAAGUAUAUGCUAACUGCUGUAUUCUCAAUAAAUGUGGCGUUUUGCCUUCUCCCCUAUAAAAGAUCGUGUGUGCUUUGUAUAGCAUGACACAAUGCCUAGCAGAAUGGGGUCUAUAGUAACUUUGCAGGAAUUUCAAAGAGGAGCUAUUUUAACUUUAAUCUAGAAGAGGA